This 4796-nucleotide long non-coding RNA is filed under the name Brassica napus (rape). RNAcentral's name for it is "long non-coding RNA (BNAP_LNC004871)". Lineage: Eukaryota; Viridiplantae; Streptophyta; Magnoliopsida; Brassicales; Brassicaceae. The record is from RNAcentral.
AGAUUAAACUAAAUUAUUGGAGAUUCUCAUGAAGAUUGCUAAAUUGUAAGAUUCUGUAAAUUUUGUUGGGUUAGUUUAUAGUAUUCUCGAGCCAAGUAGCAUGCCAAAAUUAAGAUGAAAUACCUCUCUAUGUUGCCCAAAACAGGAUAUUUGCUUAUUCUUUUUUUGAAUAGUUUUCUGUGCUUUAAGUUUCUCUUUCGUGCUGACAUUGUUUUGGCUUUCAACAUUUACUAACUUAGUUUGGCUUAGCUUUGUAUUCAAUGCCAUUAUGAACUUACACCACUAUCUAUGAUCAAAAGUAUUAUUACUGUAACGUUCUUUUAACUCUUCUAUAGAGAUGGUCACACAAAUAUUUCAAAACAUGUGGCCAAUUUUAUGGCAAUGAGAAAGUCAAACCAUUCGUUACAUACUUUAUGUAAAAGUAACUUUUUAUAACUGUAUUUCCUCAUAUUUCCAUAGUUGAUCUGAUUUCUUAAUUUAUGUGUAUGAGUCUAUGCUUCAAGAUCACAAUGAUAAGCAACCAAAAUAUCGCUAAGGACCACACUCACUCUGUAAGUGUCUAAUAUAUUUGUAACUUACAGGAGGACAUAAAGGUUGAUGAUUAGCCUAUAAUAUCAAUGAUAAAGAGAUUUUGCUAAAAUAUCUGUUGAGAAUUACAUGAACCCAGGAUAAGUGAAAUGAUUCCUUAAAGAAGAUUGGUUUAGCCUCGUAUAUCUUAUAUGCUCCGUACUUACUUUCUGUUUUUACUGACUCUAGUGAUGGGUUCUUUAGCUUCAAGAGAUCAUCUUUCAGCUUCAAGGAGAGACCAUUCGUUACCCAAGAGCAUACAAUGUUUAAGGUGAUGUACCUCUCUAUCUGCCUCUCUCUUACUUCAAACUGAACAGACCAGUCCUCUGGUCUGGCUUGAUCAACAGGUUGAUACAGCCAAUUAUCUCUGUUUUUGUAUCUUCUCACCAUCCAAAAGCAGAAUCUAAGACACAGCAUUAUCCAAGCUAUUUAAACACGCACAAAAUAAACAGAACACAAACACAAUUUCAAACACAAACUCAAACACAUAGCAAAAACUAAAUACUAUUUAAAAAACUUCACAUUCCACGAACUUGAGCACUCACUUGCUUAUCGAAAGAGCUAUUGUUAAACCAUUGAUAAGAAUCCGGUAAAAGGCCUUGUUAAAACUAACACAGACUGUUAAGACGAAGGCACAGAUGGAAGCGUUUGAUAAAUUGUAUGUGGUCUGCGGCUGUGGCUGCUGUUGGAUAUACAUGUAAUUUAUUGCGCAUGUCCCUGUAAAAUCGCUUAUAGACAGAAGUUAUAGACAUAGCAAUUCUAUAAGAGGACACUAAGAGACUUUGAAAAUGGACGUGAUUAAACCUAAUAGCUCACCACAUUAUCUCCAGCAUGCCUUUUCGUGCCUCUACUCCAAUGAUCACGCGAAUCCAAUCCCUCGUCUUGAAGUUCACAGCCAAUGGCAGUGAGAUAAAACAGUAUUCAGUACCAUAGCUCGAGCUUCCUCGGGAAACCGUUGAUCCUAACAUAUAGCAGACUAAGACAUUGCACCAAUACUUCAAUUAUGAUUUCAUCAACUAAUAGAUCAUACGAAAAAUACACAGGAAAAUCUUGAUUAACUUACCUACUUCAGUUUUUUAAACUUCGCCUGAAAAACCUUUUGAAAACCAGAGAAAUGUUGAAACAUGUUUAACCAAAUAGCAUGAUUAAGUAAAAAAAAGUUUAAUUUGGAAAAUUUCAACUCAAAACUAUCUUAAAGCCAGUUGUUACCAGGAUUAAAAUAAUUAUUUUCUUAACAACCUGAAUUCAAUAAAAGGUAUCAGCAAAAGAAAGUUGAGCUCAGUACAACUCCAAACUUAAUUGACUCACCUGACCCAUCAGGAUGCAACUUCCUAUAAAUACCGAGGUCACUUCAUCAACGUAUCCAAUGGAAACUGAGUUGUAGUGUGCAUUAUUUGCCUCCUCAAAGAAGCUAACUUGUAUCUCUACACUCAGCUCCUUUGUCAGCUUAUGUAUCCUCUAUUUGUAAACCAUAUCGAGCACAACUGUAUAACAAAUACAUCUCGAAAUGAAAUCCACCGUGUUGAUAAAAGUAUCAAAGGUGCAUCAAGAUGAAAAAUGUCCUUUUAAGGCUUGGAUUGCAGAAAAGUCCUCUCUUUGUGCUUGACAGAAGUAAUAUACCUAAAAAGUCUCCUAUAUGGAGAUACUUGCAUUCAUCUUUUAUAGAAAUCAUUUUGUAAUACUGCAACAGUAAGGAGAAGGCAAUAUAUAUCACUACAGAACAUGACCCUACUUGACUCCUGAGUCCGAGGAUAGAGCAUCACGUCAAUACUUAAGGAAAGUGAUGAUAAUCUAAAUGGAAACACUAUAGCAGAGAUGUGGCUUUCUGAGAAAACAAAAACUGAGAAAUGUUUAAGAGCAAGAAUGACCUGAAUAAGAACGAUGUUUGCUUCCUUUGCGUGUACUUCUCUGACCAGAAACCAAAACUAAACAAAAGCUCCACCACAUUCUCUCCAUCGCUUGUACCUGGCUCAUUCGCUCUCUCUCUCUCUNNNNNNNNNNNNNNNNNNNNNNNNNNNNNNNNNNNNNNNNNNNNNNNNNNNNNNNNNNNNNNNNNNNNNNNNNNNNNNNNNNNNNNNNNNNNNAGUUUCUUUGACCACCCGAAGCAGCCAAUGUAACACCAACCCUCAUCUUUCUGAAUCGCAGUCACUACAGAGAAACUCAAUGAUCUGUCAAGUUUAGGAGAAGAACACAAUUCUGAAUUAUAUUCUCAAAGAGUCCUAAAUUUGAAUAUAACAGACUUUACCUGAGGAUCAGCAGUGAUAAUAAAACAUUUAAAAAGCUACAUUUGUCUUCUGCCCUGGGUUUUAAAUAGCGAUUCCGAGGAUUGUGCUUGUGGAGAAGAGGUACAGAAAGUUUUCAAAUACUCGUAGAGCCGUCAAACCAUAGAUGCUUUCAACGUGAAUCUUUUGAACGACGUUGAAGUGAACAACUGAGGUUGCAUCAUUCACUACUCCUUCUCCAAGGACUAAGCUGUAUAGCAAUGGAGUCUCAUCUUGAUGGAGAAUAUGUAAUGUUAACAUGGAUAUUGUAAAAUCUUGUAAACAUACAAGCUUGAGAAGAAGGAAUCUCAGGACAGAGAUACUCUUUUCAAAAAUCAAGAACCUGUAGAGUGCAAACAGUAUCAGUUGAUGAGAAUAUGCUUCGGAUGGCUGAAUCAAGAAAAGAAAACAUUCACUCUCAAAACCAUCUAAAACAAUAAGAUAAAAAAAUAAAAUAAAUGCUGCAGAUAAAAGACAAUAUAAGGUCUCACCAAGAUAGUCUCGAGCAGUCAAUCCCUUGAAUCCCAACUUGGGAGACAGCCACCAAGUGCCUGGUUCAGAUGAUGAUUUAAAGUUUGCAUCAUCAUGGUCGUCAGUCAAGGCAUACAAGUUUGAAGAAUGUAAAAAGGAUUUUUUACCAAACAAAAUAAUGGUAGUAGAGAUGAAAACACCAAUCACACCAAAGGACAGGAUGGUUAAAAAGCUGUAAAAAAGGUUUGAGUUGAUGUGGGAUGCGAAGAGGUCGAUUGAAUGAAUGCUUCCCAGUGGAAAUGGUGUGGUGGGUUAAUCAUGCAAAAACUCAGAGUCAAUCAUGGAUUAAUGGAAGUUUGAGACCCUACGGAGGAGAUCGGAACGGCGAUUUAGUUUCUGAAGUUUUCAUCGGGCAGUCUACAUAGGUCGCUAGCAAAGAAGAAUAAACCUAAAAUUAGUGAGCUUGUCAUAAUAUUUCAAAGGUUUGGGCUUAUCAUAAUGUUUCAAGAGGCCCAGUCAUAAGCUGUAAAAAUAGCCCAGUCCAAAUAGCGGAUGAGAUAACCGGAAUAGAAAAAAUAAAUUCAGACGACGCAGUUGGUUUGGUGAGGCGACACGUGGCGAAAAAAAGCCCCACUCUUCUUGAGGAUGUGGAGGAAGGAAGAGAGAGUAUACUCUACUUUAUUAUAUAAGAUUUCCUCAUAUUUCCAUAGUUGAUCAAAAUAUAUCUGAGAUGAUGAAUAUGUGAAUGAAUAAAAAGUUAAUUAAACUGUAUUUAUAAUCUAAAUGCUUAUUUAUCUGACAUAUUUGAAUUCUUAUGAAAAUAUUUUUUUUAAUCACUACUGAUCCAAACUUAUGCACAUCUCAUAGUUUCAAAUAGAAAAUCCAACACAUAUAUAGUAUUUUUACAUUUUCUCUUUUCUAAUUGGAUCACAAUUCGCUGACAAAAAGAAAAUUGGAUCACAACUCUUAGUGUUACAAAAAAAAAAGAAAAAAAGAUCACAACUCCGAAUUAUCAAAAUUUCAGUCAUUACCUUCUGUUAGCGUUUCUCAAACUGUUACUUAUGUAAAUACUUUACAUAAGAAAUAUAUAGUAAGUUGAAAUAUGAAUGACAAAUAGAAAAUGUUCGUUACAAUUAAGAAAACACUAAUAACUUAUAUUUUAAUAAAGAUUUUGAAUGACAGUACAAAAUUACAUGACCAUGAGUAGUUAAAUUAUUUUUGGUUAAACUUCUAAGAUUUAUGGGUGGGUCAUAUUAGAAGAUUAAACUAAAUUAUUGGAGAUUCUCAUGAAGAUUGCUAAAUUGUAAGAUUCUGUAAAUUUUGUUGGGUUAGUUUAUAGUAUUCUCGAGCCAAGUAGCAUGCCAAAAUUAAGAUGAAAUACCUCUCUAUGUUGCCCAAAACAGGAUAUUUGCUUAUUCUUUUUUUGAAUAGUUUUCUGUGCUUUAAGUUUCUCUUUCGUGCUGACAUUGUUUUGGCUUUCAACAUUUACUAACUUAG